AUUGAACGCUGGCGGCAGUCUUCACACAUGCAAUUCGAGCGAGCGGCGGACGGGUGAGUACUGUCUGGGAAACUGCCUGAUGGAGGGGGAUAACUACUGGAAAGGGUAGCUCAUACCGCAUAACAUCAGAUGUGCCCAUAGCGGAUUCGAUAGUAGGUGGGGUAAUGCCUCACCUGUGCGACGAUCCCUCUCUGGUCUUAUAGGAUGACCAGCCACCCUGGAACUGUGACACUGUCCAGACGCCUACGGGAGGCAGCAGUGGGGAAUAUUGCACAAUGGGCGCACGCCUGAUGCAGCCAUGCCGCGUGUGUGAAGAAGGCCUUCGGGUUGUAAAGCACUUUCAGCGAGGAGGCGUGACUCGCAGAAGAAGCACCGGCUAACUCAGUGCCAGCCGCCGCGGUAAUUC
This 406-nucleotide ribosomal RNA is filed under the name uncultured bacterium. RNAcentral's name for it is "partial 16S ribosomal RNA". It matches the Rfam family "Bacterial small subunit ribosomal RNA", at positions 30 to 526 of the family's 1533-position model. The record is from RNAcentral.